Molecule: ribosomal RNA, 302 nt
Filed under: uncultured bacterium
Lineage: Bacteria
Description: partial 16S ribosomal RNA
Rfam family: Bacterial small subunit ribosomal RNA
Source: RNAcentral
GCAGCAGCCGCGGGAAUACGUAGGGUGCGAGCGUUAAUCGGAAUUACUGGGCGUAAAGCGUGCGCAGGCGGUUCGUUAAGACAGAUGUGAAAUCCCCGGGCUUAACCUGGGAACUGCAUUUGUGACUGACGGGCUAGAGUAUGGCAGAGGGGGGUAGAAUUCCACGUGUAGCAGUGAAAUGCGUAGAGAUGUGGAGGAAUACCGAUGGCGAAGGCAGCCCCCUGGGCCAAUACUGACGCUCAUGCACGAAAGCGUGGGGAGCAAACAGGAUUAGAUACCCCAGUAGUCCCUGUCUCUUAUAC